GUUUCCGUAGUGUAGUGGUUAUCACGUUGGCCUAACACGCGAAAGGUCCCUGGUUCGAGCCCAGGCGGAAACA
This 73-nucleotide transfer RNA is filed under the name Saccoglossus kowalevskii. Its description in RNAcentral is "tRNA-Val". It matches the Rfam family "tRNA". From Rfam's summary of the family: Transfer RNA (tRNA) molecules are approximately 80 nucleotides in length. Their secondary structure includes four short double-helical elements and three loops (D, anti-codon, and T loops). Further hydrogen bonds mediate the characteristic L-shaped molecular structure. tRNAs have two regions of fundamental functional importance: the anti-codon, which is responsible for specific mRNA codon recognition, and the 3' end, to which the tRNAs corresponding amino acid is attached (by aminoacyl-tRNA synthetases). tRNAs cope with the degeneracy of the genetic code in two manners: having more than one tRNA (with a specific anti-codon) for a particular amino acid; and 'wobble' base-pairing, i.e. permitting non-standard base-pairing at the 3rd anti-codon position. Lineage: Eukaryota; Metazoa; Hemichordata; Enteropneusta; Harrimaniidae. The record is from RNAcentral.